RNAcentral lists this ribosomal RNA (252 nucleotides) under Muribaculum intestinale. RNAcentral's name for it is "partial 16S ribosomal RNA". It matches the Rfam family "Bacterial small subunit ribosomal RNA", at positions 524 to 776 of the family's 1533-position model. Lineage: Bacteria; Pseudomonadati; Bacteroidota; Bacteroidia; Bacteroidales; Muribaculaceae. The record is from RNAcentral.
UACGGAGGAUGCGAGCGUUAUCCGGAUUUAUUGGGUUUAAAGGGUGCGUAGGCGGAAGUUCAAGUCAGCGGUAAAAUCGAGGGGCUCAACCCCUUUAAGCCGUUGAAACUGGGUUUCUUGAGUGGGCGAGAAGUGUGCGGAAUGUGUGGUGUAGCGGUGAAAUGCAUAGAUAUCACACAGAACUCCGAUUGCGAAGGCAGCACACCGGCGCCCUACUGACGCUGAGGCACGAAAGCGUGGGGAUCAAACAGG